RNAcentral lists this ribosomal RNA (377 nucleotides) under uncultured eukaryote. RNAcentral describes it as "partial 18S ribosomal RNA". It matches the Rfam family "Eukaryotic small subunit ribosomal RNA", at positions 592 to 976 of the family's 1831-position model. The record is from RNAcentral.
CAAUAGCGUAUAUUUAAGUUGCUGCAGGUAAAAAGCUCGUAGUUGGAUUUCGGGUGGGAAUGGCCGGUCCGCCGUUUCGGUGUGCACUUGCUACGCCCACCUUGCUGCCGGGGACGUGCUCUUGAGUUCACGCUCGGGACACGGAGUCGGCGAGGUUACUUUGAGUAAAUUAGAGUGUUCAAAGCAGGCCUACGCUCUGAAUACAUUAGCAUGGAAUAACACGAUAGGACUCUGGCCUAUCUUGUUGGUCUGUAGGACCGGAGUAAUGAUUAAGAGGGACAGUCGGGGGCAUUCGUAUUUCAUUGUCAGAGGUGAAAUUCUUGGAUUUAUGAAAGACGAACUACUGCGAAAGCAUUUGCCAAGGAUGUUUUCAUUAA